Molecule: ribosomal RNA, 292 nt
Filed under: uncultured prokaryote
Description: partial 16S ribosomal RNA
Rfam family: Bacterial small subunit ribosomal RNA
Source: RNAcentral
GUGCCAGCAGCCGCGGUAAUACGGAGGGGGCAAGCGUUACUCGGAAUUAUUGGGCGUAAAGGGCGCGUAGGCGGUUCCGUGCGUCGGAGGUGAAAUCCCCGGGCUUAACCCGGGAGCUGCCUCCGAUACGGCGGGACUUGAGUCCGGGAGAGGGGAGCAGAAUUCCCAGUGUAGCGGUGAAAUGCGUAGAUAUUGGGAGGAAUACCAGUGGCGAAGGCGGCUCCCUGGACCGGUACUGACGCUGAGGCGCGAAAGCGUGGGUAGCAAACAGGAUUAGAUACCCUGGUAGUCC